AAAGUUAAAUCAGUGUGACAAAGAGAAGUGCAUAGAAUCUUAAUUCGAACUUCGUAAGCUUGAGGUGGAUCAACUUGGAUCUCCUCUAUUACCAAUGCUUCUCCUGCUUUUCUACAUACUGCUGCUUUGCAUCGAAUCGGCUUUCCUUCGUUGAUGGUUAAUGAAGAUGUCAUGUCAAUGGUGAAUGAUGGAUUAUGAUGAACAAUGAUGGAGUGGAAAUGAGAGAGAGUCGUUUGUUCUUCCUAUUUUGUCUUUCUGAAUAUCUCACCAUGCCAAACGAUUCCCCAGUUCUUAUCGCUAACCUACUUUUAGAAUAAAGUAUUUUUGUAGUGGAGAUGUAUUAUUAAGCUACUUUAACUAAAAGGGUAUAAUAAUAAUUAAGCUCGUCUCUAUUCUACUGACAGUACGAAAAUGUUGUGUCUAUAUGUCUCGUAGUCUAUAACUCUAUACUCUAAUUAUUAUGUUCGUCUCUAUUGACGGCCUAAUUUUAUUUUGUCUUGAAGAUAUUUUUUUUUCUUUCAAAUGAAUCGUAAAGAAAAUGAAAACAUUGGCAGAUGAUUGUAUCGAUGCAAAACAUAUCCUGAGCUGGUGGUUGGUAGAAUAAUAAAAGAUUAAUAGCAGUAUAUAUAUACAUUUUUGAUCUUGAUUGAAUUUCAAUUAACCAACGUUUUAAUUAAUUGUGUGUUUAACUCGGACAUUUCAUUCUCUUUGAUAAAAGCGUUCUUUUAAGACUUGAAAACUUGACUAAGCUCAGUUGGUAGAGCUGAAGACUGUAGUUGUUAUCAACAGUUAAUCUUUAGGUCGAUCAUUUUUUUUUCUUGAAAAAGAAAAAGACGUAGCAAUUAAUUACUUAUCCAAAGUGGGUAAGCUGAUAUAAGUUUUAUAGGGCAGGCAUUAUUAAUUUAAUAUUGUUAGUAUAAUUUAGCUGAAAGAUUAGAAGACGAUUUCAGAUUUGAACUCAAUACAUAAGGGUAAAAAAUAAAGAGAUUUUGACCAAUGUGAAUUGAAGUAACCUUGCAAACUAAAUUUUUAAAGAUUUUGUAGAAUUGACCCUCAUCUCUCCAGAGUGGCUUCAGUCACUGCUUAUCCAUCCAUAGAAUGCAGCGAAGAGACCUCCCUUCCUCUAAUAAAUCGAAAGCCUUAUUGAUUUCCUCAAAAUCCAAUUCGUGUGUAAUAAAACUAUCCAGAUUGAGCUCCUGCAAUUAUAAAAAGAAACUUUAAAUCUCUUGAAAACAUAGUAGAUACUCAAUUACUCAUAUGUAGGUUGGAAAGAAGAAGUAAAACACUUUCUAUGAAGUUAAACACUAUUCUUUUCCACAAGGAACAUACUCUUCUUCUUCUUUUCCCAAGUAAUAUAUAUAUAUAUAUAUAUAUAUGUAUAUUUACCUUUUUGUUGGUUUUUGAAUUAACAUCUUCGUAAAGUGUUAAAAAAUGAAAUCUGAGUCCACAUAAAUUCAUUAAUAUAUAUAUAUACCUUUUUGAGGUAAUGAUCCACGAGAAUCGGAAUAUCUAGUUUGGAUUUUAAACCACCGAACAUGCUUCCGCAAAUACUUCUGCCUUUAAGAAGAUCAAAACUAGCCAAACUUAUUGGCGCUGCAUGCUUUCCCAUUCCCAACAUUAUCGUCUUUCCUGAUCCCUGUUUUGUUGUUUAUUAAUUUUUCAGUUGUUAAAGACAUUUUAAAUUGUAAAACAUUCCUUCUUUUUUUUUGGUUCAAGAAAAAUAAAAACAUUCGAUCUUUUAACCAAAAAAAAAUCGUAAAACAGUUUUGUUUAACCAAUAAAAUGAAUGAAUGAUGUUGAGCCGAUCGAGAAUCGAUAAGAUACGUUGUAAGCGUACCGUGCGGGUGCUGAUAAAAGCCUCACUUAGUAACGAAGCUAAACCAACGCAUUCGAAACUGUAGUCAACUCCUCCUCCUGUCAUCUCUUUAAUCACCUUUCAGGAAAAAAACAAACAAAAUCAUUAUUUUUGGCAAAUAGAUUGAUUAAUUAAUGCACGUAUGUAAUAUCUAUAUACGAAUGUAUAUGAAAAUGAUAUAAGAUAAAGGAAGAUAAAUAAUUUACCUCACUAAUCUUCUUUUCUCCGCACAACGUAGGAUUGACGAAAUCCGUGAAACCAAAUUUCUUACCUAUUCAAUUUUAAAAAUUAAAGAAAAUUCAAACAAUUAAUAAGUUUAUACAUGAUAAAUAAUAGGGUUCCUCCGUUUUCGAUAGGUGAUACUUAAUUUAUUAAUUUGAACUUUCUAAGCGAUGUUUUUUUUUUUUGACAAUGCAAACAAAUGAUUUAUUUAUCUAAUUGUCUUUUUAUUGCCAACUAACUAAACAUCUAUUCAUAGUACAGUACAUGGUUUUUAAUAUAGUGUUACUGUAUAAGAAUACUAAAUUACCAACCAAUGUGGUCAGUAUUAGCCAAACAAAGAAAUAGUAACUUUUAGCAAAGAAAUAGUACCUAGCUCGAAUUUAUCAGGAUUGAGAUCGAUACCGAUGAUCUUUGCGGCCCCACGCAAUCUGGCUCCCUCGGCAACCUUUUUUACCAAAUCAUAACUAACGUGUAUUAAAAAACUAAUUAUAUAAAUAUUAAACUGAUAACGAACUGUAAAAUGUGCUUUUCUUUUCCUUUAUAGAAUGAUUUAUUAUCAUAUUAUGGAAAAAAAGCAAAAAAAAAAAAUAAUAAUAAAAGAAAUACCGCAAGUCCAACAGCACCAAGGCCAAAGAUUGCAACGGUGGAGCCUUCCUCCACGUCAGCCACUUUCCAUGCAGCACCAACUCCUGCUCAAACGUGGCGCACCAUAAGGCCACGUAUGUACAAUUAUUUGACUUCUCAUAAAAUAACAAUCCCACCCCUAGUUUCUACUUUUCUUUAUGUUUUGACCCCAAAUAUAUUUAAAGUUAUUUAUAGCAACCCUACGGAUUACGGAAAUAGAAUUAAGAAUAGUGAAUAGAGUACCGGUGGAGACACCGCAGCUGAGCAAACAAGCUUUGUCAACGGGAAUGUCAUGUGAGAUUUUGACGAGAUGAGCGAUGUCAACGACGGUAUACUCAGUAAAACUCGAGACAAAGAGAAAAUGGUGAAUAUCUUCUCCGGACGAGUCUUUGAAUCUCGAAGCCAUCCCGUAUCGUCUCGUGUUUGAGAAGAACUCGUCGGCAAAUCUCGCGCACCAGUUGCUCUUUGAAGAUUUGCAGUCUUUGCAUUCUUCGCAUUGAGGGUGAAACACUGGCAAAACCACGUCGCCUUGCUUAAAUCCUUCAACGUUUUCUCCAAUGCUCUCCACCACACUGGAUUACGUAAUUAGGACAGAUUCUUGAUUAAUACUCACAAGAGACUAAUUAAAAUAUGCAUAUGAAUAAUGUAUCAUGUAAGAAUAUUCACCCGACUGCUUCGUGUCCUAGAAUCCUUGGAAACCUUGCAAGCGGCCCCUGGAACAAUCAUAAGGAUUUAGUGAAAUCGAAAUUUUGAAUGAAAUAUAGAUUCUGAGUUGACUUUGUGAUAUAUAAUAUUAUCAACUUACACUGUCUAUUUUCCAGAAAGUAACAUCGGUGUGACAAAGAGAAGUGCAUAGAAUCUUAAUCCGAACUUCGUAAGCUUGAGGUGGAUCAACUUGGAUCUCCUCUAUUACCAAUGCUUCUCCUGCUUUUCUACAUACUGCUGCUUUGCAUCGAAUCGGCUUUCCUUCGUUUAUGGAGAAUGAGGUCUUCUCCAUGGUGAUUAUGAGAUGCACACAAAUACACAAUAG
RNAcentral lists this long non-coding RNA (3731 nucleotides) under Eutrema salsugineum. Its description in RNAcentral is "long non-coding RNA (ESAL_LNC000605)". The record is from RNAcentral. Lineage: Eukaryota; Viridiplantae; Streptophyta; Magnoliopsida; Brassicales; Brassicaceae.